Molecule: transfer RNA, 71 nt
Filed under: Loxodonta africana (African savanna elephant)
Lineage: Eukaryota; Metazoa; Chordata; Mammalia; Proboscidea; Elephantidae
Rfam family: tRNA
About the family: Transfer RNA (tRNA) molecules are approximately 80 nucleotides in length. Their secondary structure includes four short double-helical elements and three loops (D, anti-codon, and T loops). Further hydrogen bonds mediate the characteristic L-shaped molecular structure. tRNAs have two regions of fundamental functional importance: the anti-codon, which is responsible for specific mRNA codon recognition, and the 3' end, to which the tRNAs corresponding amino acid is attached (by aminoacyl-tRNA synthetases). tRNAs cope with the degeneracy of the genetic code in two manners: having more than one tRNA (with a specific anti-codon) for a particular amino acid; and 'wobble' base-pairing, i.e. permitting non-standard base-pairing at the 3rd anti-codon position.
Source: Rfam by way of RNAcentral
GCAGUGAUGGCUCAGUGGUAGAAUUCUCACCUCCCACGUGGGAGACCUGGGUUCAAUUCUCGGCCAGUGCA